RNAcentral lists this non-coding RNA (39 nucleotides) under Prorocentrum minimum. Lineage: Eukaryota; Dinophyceae; Prorocentrales; Prorocentraceae. The record is from RNAcentral.
GAGGGCGGGACGUUGCCCUAAACUUGGGGGGGCCAUGCU